RNAcentral lists this ribosomal RNA (497 nucleotides) under uncultured bacterium. RNAcentral describes it as "partial 16S ribosomal RNA". It matches the Rfam family "Bacterial small subunit ribosomal RNA", at positions 28 to 507 of the family's 1533-position model. The record is from RNAcentral.
GACGAACGCUGGCGGCGUGCCUAAUACAUGCAAGUAGAACGCUGAAGAGAGGAGCUUACUCUUCUUGGAUGAGUUGCGAACGGGUGAGUAACGCGUAGGUAACCUGCCUUGUAGCGGGGGAUAACUAUUGGAAACGAUAGCUAAUACCGCAUAACAAUGGAUGACACAUGUCAUUUAUUUGAAAGGGGCAAUUGCUCCACUACAAGAUGGACCUGCGUUGUAUUAGCUAGUAGGUGAGGUAAUGGCUCACCUAGGCGACGAUACAUAGCCGACCUGAGAGGGUGAGCGGCCAACCUGGGACUGAGACACGGCCCAGACUCCUACGGGAGGCAGCAGGAGGGAAGCUUCGGAAAUGGGGGCAACCCUGACCGAGCAACGCCGCGUGAGUGAAGAAGGUUUUCGGAUCGUAAAGCUCUGUUGUAAGUCAAGAACGGGUGUGAGAGUGGAAAGUUCACACUGUGACGGUAGCUUACCAGAAAGGGACGGCUAACUACGUG